This 253-nucleotide ribosomal RNA is filed under the name uncultured bacterium. RNAcentral's name for it is "partial 16S ribosomal RNA". It matches the Rfam family "Bacterial small subunit ribosomal RNA", at positions 524 to 776 of the family's 1533-position model. The record is from RNAcentral.
UACGUAGGUGGCAAGCGUUAUCCGGAUUUAUUGGGCGUAAAGGGAACGCAGGCGGUCUUUUAAGUCUGAUGUGAAAGCCUUCGGCUUAACCGGAGUAGUGCAUUGGAAACUGGGAGACUUGAGUGCAGAAGAGGAGAGUGGAACUCCAUGUGUAGCGGUGAAAUGCGUAGAUGUAUGGAGGAACACCGGUGGCGAAAGCGGCUCUCUGGCCUGUAACUGACACUGAGGCUCGAAAGCGUGGGGAGCAAACAGG